AAUGAUAUAUUUUCUUGUUUGA
This 22-nucleotide small nuclear RNA is filed under the name Arabidopsis thaliana (thale cress). RNAcentral's name for it is "snRNA_09959". Lineage: Eukaryota; Viridiplantae; Streptophyta; Magnoliopsida; Brassicales; Brassicaceae. The record is from RNAcentral.